This 505-nucleotide ribosomal RNA is filed under the name uncultured soil bacterium. RNAcentral describes it as "bacterial SSU rRNA". It matches the Rfam family "Bacterial small subunit ribosomal RNA", at positions 35 to 586 of the family's 1533-position model. The record is from RNAcentral.
GCUGGCGGCAGGCCUAAUACAUGCAAGUCGAACGCUCCAGCAAUGGAGAGUGGCAGACGGGUGAGUAACGCGUGGGAACCUUCCCAGAGGUACGGAAUAGCUCAGGGAAACUUGAGGUAAUACCGUAUACGCCCUUCGGGGGAAAGAUUUAUCGCCAUUGGAUGGGCCCGCGUCGGAUUAGCUAGUUGGUGGGGUAAUGGCCCACCAAGGCGACGAUCCGUAGCUGGUCUGAGAGGAUGAUCAGCCACACUGGGACUGAGACACGGCCCAGACUCCUACGGGAGGCAGCAGUAGGGAAUAUUGGACAAUGGGCGAAAGCCUGAUCCAGCCAUGCCGCGUGAGUGACGAAGGCCUUCGGGUUGUAAAGCUCUUUUGGCGGGGACGAUAAUGACGGUACCCGCAGAAUAAGCUCCGGCUAACUUCGUGCCAGCAGCCGCGGUAAUACGAAGGGAGCUAGCGUUGUUCGGAAUCACUGGGCGUAAAGCGCACGUAGGCGGAUGUGUCA